This 5928-nucleotide long non-coding RNA is filed under the name Zea mays. Its description in RNAcentral is "long non-coding RNA (ZMAY_LNC000720)". Lineage: Eukaryota; Viridiplantae; Streptophyta; Magnoliopsida; Poales; Poaceae. The record is from RNAcentral.
CCAGCCCCUAAUAGCUUCACCCUCAUAAGUGAAUCCAUCCGCUGCAACGUAAGGGUCUCUCAUGAUCUCCUGGCCACCAUCAAAUUACAGCCAUGAGUUUACCCAUUUCAAUGUAUUUAGGUGUUGUUUGGUUCACAUAUUUGUAACGUGAACGUAACUCAUGACGUUUAACCAUGUUUAAGUCCAACCGUAAUCAGAUACCACACUAGGAACUAAUACCGGCCUAUUCAAACUUGAUACCACUAAUACUCUACUGUGAAUCAUUACCGCUGUCAUUUAUGUUACAUUUGAUGAACCAAACAACACCUUAGUGUCGUUAUGUGUCAAAUGACAGUUCUUUACAUUUUAUUAAAAAAAGGACAUGCACUGAAAGCAUCACAAUUUUACCACUGCAAACGUGCAAUGUUUCCACUCAGUAUAAUUAUAGUUGUUCAUCUUUUGCUUCAUUUUUUAAUAGUUUAAUUAGCUAACACUAAAAUUAGUAUACGCUAUAGGUUGACUAAAAUAUUUUAAUGGACCAUAUUUCCAACAACUCAUGCAUAUGAUACUUGAUGAUUGGAUAUCUGAUGAAGAUAGGUGUGCCUAUUGUUUACCUGCAAAAUUGGACAUAUGAAGUACGAUGGGAUGCAAGUCUCAUCUGAUGGAGCUGUGCAUGAAAGUGGUCGUGCUGUCAUUGAAGCUGCCUUCAUUAGUGGCUCAACCACUUUCCACACAUCCACUGUUAGAUCUGGCCUUCGUCUCCUACUUAACUCAGCACAUCUCAAGGCAAUAUGCGCAAGUUGGUUGGCCUGUAUGAAAGGCCAACUUCCAGCAGUGCUAUCGAUGAUGGAAUGCAAAUUUUCUUUCUCAAUGGCAUCUUCCACUAUUUCGGCAAUCCUUUGAGGUUGUUUCCCUGUCAGUAGUCGCAGGAUGAUAAUGCCAAAGGAGUACACAUCAGACCGUGGUGUGAGUUCACCAGUGGUCAGAAAUUCAGGAUCCAUAUAAGAGAAGGUUCCUCUUGGGUUUGUUGUUCGGUAAAGAUUUGUGCUGCAGGUGUUUGUCUGUAUCAACAAUCGAGAAAUUCCAAAAUCUCCUAAUUUGCUAGAAUAAUUGGCAUCAAGAAGAAUGUGGUCUGGCUUUAGAUCACCGUGUACCACAGGGUGAGGUUUGUUUGAAUGAAGAAAAAUGAGAGCAGAACACAUCUCUCCAAUUAUUCGAGUGCGGGUCUGCCAUGUUAGUGGUCGCGUGUUGUUCUUGCAUCCCAAGCAAUCUUCAAGGCUUCCAUUUGGAAAGAACUCGUAUACUAGACCAAAAGCUUCUGGGCAUGUACCAAUCAGCGUGACAAGGUUUGGAUGCCUUACUGUGCUGAGAACAGAAGCCUGCAUUAAGAUUAUCAUACCAAUGCAACUCACACUUCCUUGUAACAGAAAAUGUAGUUUUCAUACAAAAAGAGUGAUUACUUACCUCUUGAUGGAAUUCUGAUUGUCUCUGCAUGCUUUCUGGAUGUAGCAACUUUAUAGCUACUGUUGUAUUGCGGAGGAAACCUUUAUAGACACUUCCGAAACCACCUUCACCAACCUUGAACAUUGGAUUGAAGUCUUGUGUUGCUUGUUGCAGCUCAAUAAGAGAGAACUUGGUGUUUAGGGCUUCAGAUGGUGCAAAAACUCCCAGCCGAUUCUUUUCAUGCAGUUCAGUAGCUUCCCUUAUGGCAGCAUCUCUUUCUUGUUGUAUCCUGUCACAAUCUGCUUGGAGCGCUUCCAGUUGGUGUUUGUUUCUUGCUAGCUCAUCUUCCUUAUCUUUAACAUAUAGCUCAAUCUCACUUAUUCGUUGUUCUAGUGUGACCUUCUGCUCAUUUGCAUUGUAUAGCGCAGCAUAUGCUUCUUCUUGCUGUCUUCUCAUCACAUCAAUCUCCUGCCUCUGUUUUUCAAGCAUUUCCUUGAGUGCCUUCUGCUGCCUUAAUUCGUUCAUAUACGAUUUUUCUAAUUCUUUGCUCUGCAAGAAUACAUGUGAUUUCAUUAAUAAACAAACAUUCAAUCUGGAUUCUGGACUAGCAUAGCGAAUGAGCAAAUCCUGUACCUUUUGAAGAGCUGAUUGCAGUUCUCUUUCAGCAUUUUGCUGUUUAUUGCAUUCUUCUUGCACUUCUUUUUCUAGAAGCUGUAUUUUAGUGAGAGUUUCCUUAAGUUUGUCCUGAGCCAUUAAAUUUGAUGUAUCAGAACCUAUAUGCCAUUUAGGACUGAGAUAAUCCCCAUUGAGAACAAUAGCACACAGUACAUACCAGGUCAUGUGGUGUUGGUGAAAUAUGGUCGUAUGAAUUGUUAGUUGAAAGAUGCAUAUUUGAUGCAACUUCACUUAUGUUAUCGUUAUCAACCACUGCUGUUCUAGAGAUACUGGCUGCCCCAUCAUUUGGUGGACAACUGGAAUCAGAGUUCUGCGUCUGCGAUCUGCCUGAGUCAACAGUGAAGUCCUCUAAACUCCGUAGUCUCCUUGGCUUGCCUUUGAAAGUGGACUCAACAUCUUCAAAUGAUUGAAGCAGUGUAUCACCAGCAUUUUCAUAUAGAGAGCAAGGUACAUCUGUUCUUGAUUCUCCCAUAUCGUUCGCCAUACUUAAAUUUGAGCUUGAUGCUUUGUCCUUUGAAUUGUGGAUCAUCAUUGAUCUCAUUUGGCUAGAAAUGUUGAAUACUGGUAAUGGUGCUGUGUUUUGUGAUGAUGGUACUGUAGGUGUAUCUGCAUUGCCGCCCCUGUCAAAGUGACAGUUAACAAUCACAAUUAUUGUUAUAUCCUACAAGGUACUAUACUUGUCCGAAAAAGAGGCUGAUAGCACACUGUAAUUUGCUGAUGUAGAUUAAUGAUGAAUCACUAUAUAUCCUAAACAGCUAGAUACAGAUAGAUAGCACUACCGAGAAAAGAGCAACGUAAUUAAUUUAGGUGCCUUACUACCAACCCAUCUCAACCUUACUUGACAACAAUUAGAGAUCCUUUGCAAGUAAACCAUAUCUUGCAUGGUGAAGCUGCUCCUUCCAUUAUCUUCAAUGCUGUAUUGGACGUUGGUGCUUUCAUUGUCCUAUGAUUUGAUAACAUUUGUUAGGUUGUCAAUUAAAGGAACUAUACUUAGCAAAUCUUUUCUUACUCUUUGUGCUCGAAGUUCAUAAGAUUAUUUUUUUGAAAUAAAUGGGAACCUGCACAUCAGUUUUCAACUUUCAUAACCAUAGAACUUUUGGAGUACUUUGAAUGCUAGAUUUUAAACAUUGAGCUAUCAGGGAACUGUCUGACCAUCCACAUUUCUAUAGUUGACAAAUCGUUCUUUACUAUAUGAGAAGCUACUCUUGCAGUUUUGAUUACUCAACUGCUAGAUUUUAAGAAACUUAUCAUAAUUUGGAUAAACAUCAUCCCUUGAUCCUUUAAUGGCUAGAGUCCUCUAUUGUCGACAAAUGACAGAUGCUAGAACUAGAAAUUUGAGACACUAUAGAUGCUUGAGCCAUACUUUGAAUAUUUUUUAUCUGAUGCGGCUCCCACGACAAGCUUUUUGAUCCCAUGUAAAGAAAUAAGAUUGAUGACCCCAUUAGCUAUGUCGUCAUUUUGAAUAGCUACUAUGUCGCAAUUAACCUGGCACAGGAAAAUUUGGAUGAUCAUUAUGCAAUAUUGGGAUAUAUGUUCCUCAUCUCUUAAGAUUUCAUUCCUGUUCUUGUUCUCAAAAAAAGGGAAAAUAAUUUAGAUUGAAUUAACAAUGACAAAUAAGAGAACGUAAACAAACACCUUCAAUCGCCUGCAUAUCAAAACAUAUUCGUUUAGUUUUUUCUCCAUCUUUUCUCGCUCAUGCUGCCUGUAUGCACGGAGUUCUUGUGGUCUCAUUGUGCUGUAAUGAACACUUGCCCCUAGCCCCACUGGGAAAACAUGAAAUAUGUUUGAGCUGGAAAAUAUAAUAGACUAUGAAGUUUCUUUGUACCAUGAAACAAACUUUAGUGUAGGAACACAACAUGGAGUACCUCAUGACAAAAUUUCGUGCAUAAAAUAUUAAUUUGCCUAUAAUCAGACAGGUUAAUCUCUUCGGGCACAGUUGAGCAGUUGGCUACAAAAAAUGGUUAAAAAGGAUUAAGUUUAUGUUUGGCCUAUCAACUCUCACCUUUCUAUAAUUUUAACUCCUAACUACAAGAUUGGGUCAUUUCUCAUUUGGGCAACUCAACUAUCAAAGCCAUUCAAUUUUGAUCCUAGACUCAUCUAAAAACUAAUCAAACUAGCUCGGGGGUCAAAACUAUAUGUUUUGAUAGUUGGCGUGCCAACAAUACCUUUUUUUAGUUUAGGAUCAAAAUUAGACAAACACAAAUAUUAAGAAGCUAUCCUAUCGGUGUGGAGAAACAGAGAUGGAAACCUUACAAAACCUGAUACCAUGUGAGAUGUUUAACUUUCCUUGUAAAUAUUUGAGAGUUCUCAUAUUCUUGAAGAAGCUACCUAAGUGUAAGGAAAAUGAACCGCCGUCCAAAUUGUUAGUGAUUUUAGUGUGAUGAUCAACAUAAACUUUUGGACUAAUACGUUGGCUAGUGUUUAUAGUUCAAAGUAUGCAGAGUGGACUUGGACUGAGCUAUGGAGAGCAACACCUUAAAGAAGACAUUAGAGCAUCUCCAACAAUGCCUCAAACUAGUGCCUCAAAUUGAAAUAUGGGCUCUACACAGGAAAAACCACUCCAACAAUGCCUUAUUUUAUAAAAUUUUGUCAAAAAACUAUAGGACUCUCUCAAGUGCCUCAAAUAUAUUACACCGUAGUGAGCUGCCCUAUAAUCAAGAUUUGGGGCUUUACUGUUGGAGCGAGGUGUUUUGUUGGUGCCCUAAAUUCUAUAAAGUAUAUUUAUUUUUAAAUUAUAGGACAUUUUUAUAAAUCACGUUGUUGGAGAUGCUCUUAGAAGACUCAUUAAAGACUUACCAACGUUACGCAAAAAUCCAAGACACAAGACAAGAAAAGCCCAAAAAAGAAACUUAGAAAAAAGAAAUUCUGGCUACAUAGAGGUGCACCGUACCGGCCGGUGGGACCUAUGAACAGAAUGAAGACUAGCUAAAGACUGGAGCACGUGGCAUACCAGACCUGAUCCGGCGCAUCGGACGCACAGCUCCAAGGUCGAUAAUGGCUAUCCUUGGACCUAGUGUGGUGUACACUGGUGGCUCACCGGACCGGUCCAGUGUGUUGUUAGAAAGUUGCUAGCCUCCAAUGGCUAGCUGCCCAACUUGCUGGUUUAUUUAGCCAUGGCUCUGGAUCUAUCUAAGGGUGUGUUUUGGUUGGAUGUAUAAGGAAGGAUGGAAUGAUGCAGCCAUAAUUUCUAUAUUGUUUGAAUGAGAGUCAUGUGAGGACGAGGUGAACACCAAAGUAAUUUUUUGUGGCGGCGUGAUCCUAAAAAAUCGAGGGGACGGUGUCGCUCUCGCCUCAUCCUAUUUUAACCUAUUUUAACGUCAAACCAAACAUAUCCUAAAUGAACUGUUGAGGCUAUUGAUAAGGUUAGAAAAUACUUUUAACGGAGAGACCGGAAGGAAGCUAAAGGCGGGGCAUUGAGUGGUGGCAUGGGGAAAAGUGUGCAAACUGCUGGAACUUAGAGGAUUGGGAAUUGGCGAAUUGCUAGUCUCCAGGAGAUGGCCUGGGCUCUAAUAAUGCAAUUGUUAUGGCUAGAACAUACUAAACCCAAUGGGCCAUGGACGCUCUGCCCAUAAAUGUGCCUGAAAAAGUUACAAUUUUUCAGAGAGGAAGUUAUGGAACCUAAAACGAAAUUAGUUGGAGAAUUCGCUGUUUACCUUGAGGCAGAAAAAAGAGCGGUGUUCCUGGCUAGCUGAGUUACUUACUGGUUAUCAUCUGGGCAGGAACGUGGACAUGAGCAAUGGCAAUCCGGGAGCUGGAGGCGUCCCUGGCCAAGUUGUGCAGCGCCCACAGCAAGUUGCUCUUGCCGUGCUUGAGUUCUUCGGGGACAGCAAC